This 837-nucleotide ribosomal RNA is filed under the name bacterium. Its description in RNAcentral is "bacterial SSU rRNA". It matches the Rfam family "Bacterial small subunit ribosomal RNA", at positions 194 to 1017 of the family's 1533-position model. The record is from RNAcentral.
UUUGAUUUGAAAGGCGCUUUCGGGUGUCGCUGAUGGAUGGACCCGCGGUGCAUUAGCUAGUUGGUGAGGUAACGGCUCACCAAGGCCACGAUGCAUAGCCGACCUGAGAGGGUGAUCGGCCACAUUGGGACUGAGACACGGCCCAAACUCCUACGGGAGGCAGCAGUAGGGAAUCUUCGGCAAUGGACGAAAGUCUGACCGAGCAACGCCGCGUGAGUGAAGAAGGUUUUCGGAUCGUAAAACUCUGUUGUUAGAGAAGAACAAGGAUGAGAGUAACUGUUCAUCCCUUGACGGUAUCUAACCAGAAAGCCACGGCUAACUACGUGCCAGCAGCCGCGGUAAUACGUAGGUGGCAAGCGUUGUCCGGAUUUAUUGGGCGUAAAGCGAGCGCAGGCGGUUUCUUAAGUCUGAUGUGAAAGCCCCCGGCUCAACCGGGGAGGGUCAUUGGAAACUGGGAGACUUGAGUGCAGAAGAGGAGAGUGGAAUUCCAUGUGUAGCGGUGAAAUGCGUAGAUAUAUGGAGGAACACCAGUGGCGAAGGCGGCUCUCUGGUCUGUAACUGACGCUGAGGCUCGAAAGCGUGGGGAGCAAACAGGAUUAGAUACCCUGGUAGUCCACGCCGUAAACGAUGAGUGCUAAGUGUUGGAGGGUUUCCGCCCUUCAGUGCUGCAGCUAACGCAUUAAGCACUCCGCCUGGGGAGUACGACCGCAAGGUUGAAACUCAAAGGAAUUGACGGGGGCCCGCACAAGCGGUGGAGCAUGUGGUUUAAUUCGAAGCAACGCGAAGAACCUUACCAGGUCUUGACAUCCUUUGACCACUCUAGAGAUAGAGCUUCCC